UAAAAGAUUUCAUUUUUAGUACCCCCUGCUCAAUGAUAAUUAAAUAGCCGCAGUCUCCUGUGCUAAGGUAGCAUAAUCAUUUGCCUAAUAAUUAUAGGAUAGAAUGAAAGGUGAAACAUGUUAUCUUCUUUAUUAAAAAGGUUAUUUAAACUUAUCCUUUAAGUAAAAAUGCUUAAAUUAUUAGGGGGACGACAAGACCCUGACGAACUUCACUCUAUGUUUAGCUGGGGCGGCAGACAAAUUAAACCUUUUACCCAUUCUUUCCAAUUGAACCUCAAAAAUGAUAAUCAAGUUACCGCAGGGAUAACAGCAUAAUCCUUUCUGAAAGACCUUAUAAAAGAAAGACUUUGUGACCUCGAUGUUGAAUUAAAAAUCUAUUAGAGGCAGCACUCUAAUAAGAAAGUCUGUUCGACUUUUAAAUAUUU
RNAcentral lists this ribosomal RNA (425 nucleotides) under Aname sp. MYG391. RNAcentral describes it as "partial 16S ribosomal RNA". It matches the Rfam family "Archaeal large subunit ribosomal RNA", at positions 1926 to 2666 of the family's 2987-position model. Lineage: Eukaryota; Metazoa; Arthropoda; Arachnida; Araneae; Anamidae. The record is from RNAcentral.